GAAGCGGCAAAAGCUCAAAUUUGAAAUCUGGCGUCUUUGGCGUCCGAGUUGUAAUUUGAAGAAGGUAUCUUUGGGCCCGGCUCUUGUCUAUGUUCCUUGGAACAGGACGUCACAGAGGGUGAGAAUCCCGUGCGAUGAGAUGACCCGGGUCUGUGUAAAGUUCCUUCGACGAGUCGAGUUGUUUGGGAAUGCAGCUCUAAGUGGGUGGUAAAUUCCAUCUAAAGCUAAAUAUUGGCGAGAGACCGAUAGCGAACAAGUACAGUGAUGGAAAGAUGAAAAGAACUUUGAAAAGAGAGUGAAAAAGUACGUGAAAUUGUUGAAAGGGAAGGGCUUGAGAUCAGACUUGGUAUUUUGCAUGCUGCUCUCUCGGGGGCGGCCGCUGCGGUUUACCGGGCCAGCAUCGGUUUGGAGCGGCAGGAUAAUGGCGGAGGAAUGUGGCACGGCUUCUGCUGUGUGUUAUAGCCUCUGACGAUAC
Molecule: ribosomal RNA, 475 nt
Filed under: Candida albicans
Lineage: Eukaryota; Fungi; Ascomycota; Pichiomycetes; Serinales; Debaryomycetaceae
Description: LSU rRNA
Rfam family: Eukaryotic large subunit ribosomal RNA
Source: RNAcentral